CGCUCGCUGCCCCAGCUGCUCCCUCUACAUCACCGUCGUCUACAACGCCGAGGACUUCGCCGGCGGCACGGGGAAGCAGGACCUGGAGCCCUCGAAGCAGCAGCCCGUCGCCGUCGCUUGAAGUUUCAUAAAAUGCACUGCAGACCGUGAGUCAGAUCCUCUGGAGAGAGCACAAGCCUGAGACUCCUUUGAUGUAGUAUGAUUGGGAUCGUCGCUUGAUGUCCAUUGAUUUUCAUCGACUCUGGACACUUGAUUAAAUCAUUACUUUAACAAAGUUUGACACGGCUUGGAGAUCGACGUUCCUUUACAUUAUUUUAAGCAGAGUAGGGGUGAUCGGUU
Long non-coding RNA from Syzygium oleosum, 339 nucleotides. RefSeq lists it as uncharacterized. The record is from RefSeq and is a predicted model, not a curated record. NCBI's taxonomy places the organism in Eukaryota, Viridiplantae, Streptophyta, Magnoliopsida, Myrtales, Myrtaceae. The transcript is spliced from 2 exons.